CAUCGGGCGGUCGUCGAAAGAUGCAAGAAGUGUGCGGACCACCGGCCCCGGGCCCUCUCAACCUUUAUGCGAGUACCUACAUACAUACAUACAUAACUGUGCACCCGUACCGGCACCGUCUACUAUCUACUGUCGUCAAUUAGGAUGCAGUAUGGAUCGCAGACACAUCUCAUCGUCCAGUUUUCCAGUUUCCACCAGCCAUACCACCAGCUAUGACCAGGCACCAGACGCCAGCGGCGCC
This 241-nucleotide long non-coding RNA is filed under the name Manduca sexta (tobacco hornworm). Its description in RNAcentral is "uncharacterized LOC119190825, transcript variant X5". Lineage: Eukaryota; Metazoa; Arthropoda; Insecta; Lepidoptera; Sphingidae. The record is from RNAcentral.